This is a long non-coding RNA of Mustela lutreola (European mink), 2919 nucleotides long. RefSeq lists it as uncharacterized. NCBI's taxonomy places the organism in Eukaryota, Metazoa, Chordata, Mammalia, Carnivora, Mustelidae. The transcript has 3 exons. The record is from RefSeq and is a predicted model, not a curated record.
CGUACGCCGGAAGUGCCGGAACUACGCCGGAACGUCCGCAGGCGUUCACAGGGAGCGUGGCAAGCUGCGGAGCAGGAUGUCCCUGAGGUGCCUGGCCGGCCUGCGCCCAGCCGCCUGCUCCCCCAGGCCGGCUGCCAAGGCGCUGAGAGAGCUCGGCUAUGAACACCCGCGCCUUACAGCUCAGCCCGUUGAGUAACCCCGUGACUCUUUUUCGAGCCCCGCGUUGGUGGGUGCCACGGGCGGCUGCGCACUUCGCCUCCAUUGGCGUGGCUUAGGCGGCAGAGCUGGGCUUAGAUCCUGCGGCGUGGGGGAUGGACGUGCUCCAGAGUCUCCAGAGCCCACGCCCCCGAGGCCGCGAGAGACGGGAAAUGCGUGCGCCUGGUAUGCUGACGGCCCUGCGUGGUGCUCCCUAAUUCUGAGGAACUGUCGUCCAAGCUCCUUCACGCUCACAUUGACAGCAUCUCCGUUCCCCAGGGUGGUUGGAAAAAUGAGCCGGAGUCCACCACGUCUCCUUCUCAGGGCUGGCCUUGCUGAAGUGUCCGUGGCAGUGUCGGCGCUCGGGGCCCGAAGGACAGGAGCAUCAAGGGGCUACUGACGGUGAGGGGUCACUCCGGGAGGUUCUCAUCUGGGAGUGAGCUAGGAGCAGAACCCCAUUGGAAAUAAGCGAGGCGGACGGUUCGCGCAGGACUGAAGCCAGGGCUCCAGCUUGGAUCCUGCUGGAACGGCCAAUGUAGAGGCCCCGUGGAGGGCAGGACAGUUGGGAGGAGCAGAGGGGUCCGCCUGGAAAGACCUUUGAGGCUCAGAGCCCGUGGCACUGGCUGGGACUGCAGGCCCCGUGAAGCAUCUGGCGUCUGCACCCGCUCACCAUGCCACCGUGCUGGGUGCUCAUGGCAUCAGUAACCGCACAGUGCGGCCCCACGGAGUACUUCCCGCACACCUGGCAGUCUGUGGGGUCACAUUCUCCAGAGCACGUUCGCCCGCGAGACAGCUGCUGAAGCAAGAGCUGUCUGGAACUAAGUAGAACACGGCUGACAGGUGCCCAGGAGCACGUCCGGAGCCCAAAGCCCCUCCAGCCCGUCACUGUCCCUUUGGUCCCACGUGGUCAGAGGUUCCAUUCACGUGUUUCUGGAGAGAAGGCAAAUGAGCAGCGUCUCUCGUGAAACUUUGUCCUUUUACUCAGAAAGGAAUGUGCUCACCAAAAUUUCUAUCUGUGCUCACGGACAGGAACCGGGGCGCGUGGCCGACGUGGCCACAGGGAGCCUGGGAAGGUGAGCCGUCAUCAGGAAGCAUGGCCGCCCCAACAAGCUCAGGGUCCUCUCAGAGAACAAGGGGGUAUGGUGGACAUGUGUUGGCUGAGGUGGCUGUCCCCACCGUCCUGGGAUGUGAUUACCAUUUUCAUAAUUUGACGGAGGAGGAGAUUAAGGGACAGGCAAGCCAGGUCAUUUCUUUCCUGAAGACUACAUAAUAGACGGGGAACCGUAUCUCUAUGAGACCAUAGGCAACCUGAGAGCAGGACUGUGUGUGUGUCCUUUGCCCUGUGUAGCUGUGACCCCAUCACCAGACAGAAUGUCACUUGGAUCAAUGCCUGAUCGAAUGCCUCGUUGAUGGCCCAGUAAAGUCCCGUGCAUGUCUCAGGCUUCCCCGUCCUCCCUCUCAGAGGAAAGAGUUCCAAAAGCCUCCCCAUGCCGGCAUGCAGUUCCUCUGGGCCCAGGCAGCGUGGGUGUGCCAAGAGGACCAGUUUCGGCCGACUGCCAGCCCAGCCACGUUCAGCUGAGCUCACCAGAACCAAACAAGGCCUGAAGUGUCUCAAGGAGUGUUUUUAACAAGUUGUAAAUAAUAUCUCACCAAGUCCCAUCGCUGCCUAGAAUUGAUGCAGCUGGUGAGAAGUAGUCAUGAUCCCGUGAAUCAUUUGUCCAUUUACAAGAACAUUUCAUUCACCUCCUUCCAGAAGGAUGCACAGAACACGCUUUAAAAGAAGGCGUAACUGGUACUGACAUAUGGGAAGGCUGUGUUGCAUUCCAAUUCCUCACUGGCUCAUGCGGUGUGUGCAAAAGAAGGGAUACUUGUAAUUACUGGGGAUUUUUUUUAAAAAAUACAGAUAAUUUGUCUUAAGAAGAAACAUGGGCAUCUGCAGAAUGAUGACUUUGUCUCCCCGUGGUCUGCUCUUGGGUUAGAAACAUGGCCGGUACCCUGCCAUGUGAUUGCUGGCUUCUGGCCCUGCUCUCUCACUCUCGAAGGAAGAGCGUAUGUCUCAGCCUCCUGCAGAACUACCCCGCUCUUGCCUCUUGUCGCCCCUGCUAAGGCUGAGCAUGGAUCUCCGUAUGUUGGCACAUGAACUAAGGAAUAAGCCUCUGGAAGAAAGUCAGAAUAUCUCUAAUGGGGAAGUCUUUCCUGCUACAGCAACCAUCCAUAUGACAGUUGGGCUUAAGGAGGAAGGGGGGGAGCUUGGAUGACCAGGGUUGCAUCAGCCCGCAAACUGAGCAGCCACGCCUCGUAACAAAGCAUCCCGACCCUCAGUGACUUGAGACAAAGGCUAUUCUCAUGACCAGGGCUCUGCGGGUUCACCUCACUACAGCUGAUCUGGGCUACCCUCAUUCUGGGGCGGGCGAGCGGGGCAUGGCUUUAGGCUCCUGAGUAGACUCGGGUCUUUUCCUCGGGUUUCUGCAGAGGCCAUAUCUGAAGUGGUGCCUCUGCCUGGUGCAUAACCUUCUCGGGGGAUCCCAGGAAUGCAAGCUUGCCCUCCAGGGCACAAGGACGUGGCAAGCCUCUGGAGGCAUUGCAUCAAGAAUAUCUCAUUAGCCCAGACAGGUCACAUGGUCCACCCAUAUGGACCACCAUGGUGCACCUCCCUCCCAAGGGCAGGGAGCAGAGCCUGGCCUUGGGGCUCUGGGGAUGGGGGAGGGGCUGUGGUGCCUGGGA